GGGUUGUGAGGUUAAGCGACUAAGCGUACACGGUGGAUGCCCUGGCAGUCAGAGGCGAUGAAGGACGUGCUAAUCUGCGAAAAGCGCCGGCGAGGUGAUAUGAACCUUUGACCCGGCGAUGUCCGAAUGGGGAAACCCAGUGCAAUUCGUUGCACUAUCGUUAACUGAAUACAUAGGUUAACGAGGCGAACCGGGGGAACUGAAACAUCUAAGUACCCCGAGGAAAAGAAAUCAACCGAGAUUCCCCCAGUAGCGGCGAGCGAACGGGGAGCAGCCCAGAGUCUGAAUCAGCUUGUGUGUUAGUGGAAGCGUCUGGAAAGUCGCACGGUACAGGGUGACAGUCCCGUACACGAAAGCACACAGGCUGUGAACUCGAAGAGUAGGGCGGGACACGUGGUAUCCUGUCUGAAUAUGGGGGGACCAUCCUCCAAGGCUAAAUACUCCUGACUGACCGAUAGUGAACCAGUACCGUGAGGGAAAGGCGAAAAGAACCCCGGCGAGGGGAGUGAAAAAGAACCUGAAACCGUGUACGUACAAGCAGUGGGAGCACCUUCGUGGUGUGACUGCGUACCUUUUGUAUAAUGGGUCAGCGACUUAUAUUCUGUAGCAAGGUUAACCGUAUAGGGGAGCCGAAGGGAAACCGAGUCUUAACUGGGCGUUAAGUUGCAGGGUAUAGACCCGAAACCCGGUGAUCUAGCCAUGGGCAGGUUGAAGGUUGGGUAACACUAACUGGAGGACCGAACCGACUAAUGUUGAAAAAUUAGCGGAUGACUUGUGGCUGGGGGUGAAAGGCCAAUCAAACCGGGAGAUAGCUGGUUCUCCCCGAAAGCUAUUUAGGUAGCGCCUCGUGAACUCAUCUUCGGGGGUAGAGCACUGUUUCGGCUAGGGGGCCAUCCCGGCUUACCAACCCGAUGCAAACUACGAAUACCGAAGAAUGUUAUCACGGGAGACACACGGCGGGUGCUAACGUCCGUCGUGAAGAGGGAAACAACCCAGACCGCCAGCUAAGGUCCCAAAGUCAUGGUUAAGUGGGAAACGAUGUGGGAAGGCACAGACAGCCAGGAUGUUGGCUUAGAAGCAGCCAUCAUUUAAAGAAAGCGUAAUAGCUCACUGGUCGAGUCGGCCUGCGCGGAAGAUGUAACGGGGCUAAACCAUGCACCGAAGCUGCGGCAGCGACGCUUAUGCGUUGUUGGGUAGGGGAGCGUUCUGUAAGCCGUUGAAGGUGUGCUGUGAGGCAUGCUGGAGGUAUCAGAAGUGCGAAUGCUGACAUAAGUAACGAUAAAGCGGGUGAAAAGCCCGCUCGCCGGAAGACCAAGGGUUCCUGUCCAACGUUAAUCGGGGCAGGGUGAGUCGACCCCUAAGGCGAGGCCGAAAGGCGUAGUCGAUGGGAAACAGGUUAAUAUUCCUGUACUUGGUGUUACUGCGAAGGGGGGACGGAGAAGGCUAUGUUAGCCGGGCGACGGUUGUCCCGGUUUAAGCAUGUAGGCGGAGGUUCCAGGUAAAUCCGGUACCUUAUUAACGCUGAGGUGUGAUGACGAGGCACUACGGUGCUGAAGUAACAAAUGCCCUGCUUCCAGGAAAAGCCUCUAAGCAUCAGGUAACACGAAAUCGUACCCCAAACCGACACAGGUGGUCAGGUAGAGAAUACCAAGGCGCUUGAGAGAACUCGGGUGAAGGAACUAGGCAAAAUGGUGCCGUAACUUCGGGAGAAGGCACGCUGAUAUGUAGGUGAAGCCCCUGCGGGUGGAGCUGAAAUCAGUCGAAGAUACCAGCUGGCUGCAACUGUUUAUUAAAAACACAGCACUGUGCAAACACGAAAGUGGACGUAUACGGUGUGACGCCUGCCCGGUGCCGGAAGGUUAAUUGAUGGGGUUAGCGGUAACGCGAAGCUCUUGAUCGAAGCCCCGGUAAACGGCGGCCGUAACUAUAACGGUCCUAAGGUAGCGAAAUUCCUUGUCGGGUAAGUUCCGACCUGCACGAAUGGCGUAAUGAUGGCCAGGCUGUCUCCACCCGAGACUCAGUGAAAUUGAACUCGCUGUGAAGAUGCAGUGUACCCGCGGCAAGACGGAAAGACCCCGUGAACCUUUACUAUAGCUUGACACUGAACACUGGUCCUUGAUGUGUAGGAUAGGUGGGAGGCUUUGAAGCGUGGACGCCAGUCUGCGUGGAGCCGACCUUGAAAUACCACCCUUUAAUGGCUGGUGUUCUAACGUAGACCCGUAAUCCGGGUUGCGGACAGUGUCUGGUGGGUAGUUUGACUGGGGCGGUCUCCUCCCAAAGAGUAACGGAGGAGCACGAAGGUUAGCUAAUCCUGGUCGGACAUCAGGAGGUUAGUGCAAUGGCAUAAGCUAGCUUGACUGCGAGAGUGACGGCUCGAGCAGGUGCGAAAGCAGGUCAUAGUGAUCCGGUGGUUCUGAAUGGAAGGGCCAUCGCUCAACGGAUAAAAGGUACUCCGGGGAUAACAGGCUGAUACCGCCCAAGAGUUCAUAUCGACGGCGGUGUUUGGCACCUCGAUGUCGGCUCAUCACAUCCUGGGGCUGAAGUAGGUCCCAAGGGUAUGGCUGUUCGCCAUUUAAAGUGGUACGCGAGCUGGGUUUAGAACGUCGUGAGACAGUUCGGUCCCUAUCUGCCGUGGGCGCUGGAGAAUUGAGGGGGGCUGCUCCUAGUACGAGAGGACCGGAGUGGACGCAUCACUGGUGUUCGGGUUGUCAUGCCAAUGGCACUGCCCGGUAGCUAAAUGCGGAAAAGAUAAGUGCUGAAAGCAUCUAAGCACGAAACUUGCCCCGAGAUGAGUUCUCCCUGACCCUUUAAGGGUCCUGAAGGAACGUUGAAGACUACGACGUUGAUAGGUCGGGUGUGUAAGCGCAGCGAUGCGUUGAGCUAACCGAUACUAAUGAACCGUGAGGCUUAACCUUACAACGCCGAAGCUGUU
This 2932-nucleotide ribosomal RNA is filed under the name Enterobacter asburiae. RNAcentral's name for it is "23S ribosomal RNA". It matches the Rfam family "Bacterial large subunit ribosomal RNA". Lineage: Bacteria; Pseudomonadati; Pseudomonadota; Gammaproteobacteria; Enterobacterales; Enterobacteriaceae. The record is from RNAcentral.